RNAcentral lists this ribosomal RNA (338 nucleotides) under uncultured cyanobacterium. RNAcentral's name for it is "bacterial SSU rRNA". It matches the Rfam family "Bacterial small subunit ribosomal RNA", at positions 1042 to 1382 of the family's 1533-position model. The record is from RNAcentral. Lineage: Bacteria; Bacillati; Cyanobacteriota.
CGAUGGCUGUCGUCAGCUCGUGUCGUGAGAUGUUGGGUUAAGUCCCGCAACGAGCGCAACCCUCGUCUUUAGUUGCCAUCAUUAAGUUGGGCACUCUAGAGAGACUGCCGUGGACAACACGGAGGAAGGUGGGGACGACGUCAAGUCAUCAUGCCCCUUACGUCUUGGGCUACACACGUCCUACAAUGCUACGGACAGAGGGCAGCAAGCUAGCGAUAGCAAGCAAAUCCCAUAAACCGUAGCUCAGUUCAGAUUGCAGGCUGCAACUCGCCUGCAUGAAGGCGGAAUCGCUAGUAAUCGCAGGUCAGCAUACUGCGGUGAAUACGUUCCCGGGCCUU